This 1478-nucleotide ribosomal RNA is filed under the name metagenome. RNAcentral describes it as "bacterial SSU rRNA". It matches the Rfam family "Bacterial small subunit ribosomal RNA". The record is from RNAcentral.
AGAGUUUGAUCCUGGCUCAGGAUGAACGCUAGCGGCAGGCCUAACACAUGCAAGUCGAACGGUAAGGUCCACUUCGGUGGAUACACGAGUGGCGCACGGGUGAGUAACGCGUAUGCAACCUACCCUUAACAGGGGGAUAGCCCGAAGAAAUUCGGAUUAAUACCCCAUAAUACUAUAAAUAUCAUUUAUUUAUAGUAAAAACUCCGGUGGUUAAGGAUGGGCAUGCGUGACAUUAGAUAGUUGGUAAGGUAACGGCUUACCAAGUCUACGAUGUCUAGGGGGUCUGAGAGGAUGGUCCCCCACACUGGUACUGAGACACGGACCAGACUCCUACGGGAGGCAGCAGUGAGGAAUAUUGCGCAAUGGACGAAAGUCUGACGCAGCCAUGCCGCGUGCAGGAUGACGGCCCUACGGGUUGUAAACUGCUUUUAUACAGGAAGAAAACCAUGCUCGUGAGCGUGGUUGACGGUACUGUAGGAAUAAGCAUCGGCUAACUCCGUGCCAGCAGCCGCGGUAAUACGGAGGAUGCAAGCGUUAUCCGGAUUUAUUGGGUUUAAAGGGUGCGUAGGCGGAAUAAUAAGUCAGUGGUGAAAUCCUGCUGCUUAACUGUAGAACUGCCAUUGAUACUGUUAUUCUUGAAUAUAGUUGAGGUAGGCGGAAUGUGUAAUGUAGCGGUGAAAUGCAUAGAUAUUACACAGAACACCGAUUGCGUAGGCAGCUUACUAAGCUAUUAUUGACGCUGAGGCACGAAAGCGUGGGGAUCGAACAGGAUUAGAUACCCUGGUAGUCCACGCUGUAACGAUGAUCACUAGCUGUUGGCGAUACACCGAUCAGCGGCAAAGCGAAAGCAUUAAGUGAUCCACCUGGGGAGUACGGUCGCAAGAUUGAAACUCAAAGGAAUUGACGGGGGCCCGCACAAGCGGAGGAACAUGUGGUUUAAUUCGAUGAUACGCGAGGAACCUUACCUGGGCUUAAAUGCAGGACGACGUCCCGAGAAAUCGGGACUCUCUUCGGAGCGGACUGCAAGGUGCUGCAUGGUUGUCGUCAGCUCGUGCCGUGAGGUGUCGGGUUAAGUCCCAUAACGAGCGCAACCCCUAUCGUUAGUUGCCAGCGAGUCAAGUCGGGGACUCUAACGAAACUGCCGGUGUAAACCGAGAGGAAGGUGGGGAUGACGUCAAAUCAGCACGGCCCUUAUGUCCAGGGCUACACACGUGUUACAAUGGUCGGUACAGAGGGUAGCUACUAUGUAAAUAGAUGCCAAUCUCGAAAACCGGUCUUAGUUCGGAUCGAAGUCUGCAACUCGACUUCGUGAAGCUGGAUUCGCUAGUAAUCGCGCAUCAGCCACGGCGCGGUGAAUACGUUCCCGGGCCUUGUACACACCGCCCGUCACACCAUGGGAGUUGGCUGCACCAGAAGCCGGUAGCUUAACCUUCGGGGGGGCGCCGACCACGGUGUGGUCAAUGACUGGGGUGAAGUCG